AACACUAGGGGUGCCGUAAGGCUGAGACGAAUCGGAAGAUUCGGACCCUUUGAACCUGAAUGGGGUAAUACCUGCGUAGGGAAGUGGAGAGUU
RNAcentral lists this non-coding RNA (93 nucleotides) under uncultured Paenibacillus sp. Its description in RNAcentral is "TPP riboswitch (THI element)". It matches the Rfam family "TPP riboswitch aptamer (THI element)", at positions 7 to 92 of the family's 105-position model. Rfam says of the family: Vitamin B(1) in its active form thiamin pyrophosphate (TPP) is an essential coenzyme that is synthesised by coupling of pyrimidine and thiazole moieties in bacteria. The previously detected thiamin-regulatory element, thi box was extended, resulting in a new, highly conserved RNA secondary structure, the THI element, which is widely distributed in eubacteria and also occurs in some archaea. Analysis of operon structures identified a large number of new candidate thiamin-regulated genes, mostly transporters, in various prokaryotic organisms. Lineage: Bacteria; Bacillati; Bacillota; Bacilli; Caryophanales; Paenibacillaceae. The record is from RNAcentral.